Molecule: unclassified non-coding RNA, 325 nt
Filed under: soil metagenome
Description: partial contains 5.8S ribosomal RNA, internal transcribed spacer 2, and large subunit ribosomal RNA
Rfam family: 5.8S ribosomal RNA (bases 1-121)
Source: RNAcentral
GAUGAAGAACGUAGCGAAAUGCGAUAAGUAAUGCGAAUUGCAGAAUUUCCGUGAGUCAUCGAAUCUUUGAACGCACAUUGCGCCCUGUGGUAUUCCGCAGGGCAUGCCUGUUCGAGCGUCAUUUCAACCCUCAAGCCUCGCUUGGUGUUGGGCCCUGCCCGCCGCGGCCGGCCCUAAAGAUAGUGGCGGCGCCGCCUGGCCCUCAGCGUAGUACAGCUCUCGCUCCAGGGUCCGGCGGCAGCCUGCCAGAACCCCCCAACUCUGUGGUUGACCUCGGAUCAGGUAGGGAUACCCGCUGAACUUAAGCAUAUCAAUAAGCGGAGGA